This is a long non-coding RNA of Alnus glutinosa, 1339 nucleotides long. RefSeq lists it as uncharacterized. Lineage: Eukaryota; Viridiplantae; Streptophyta; Magnoliopsida; Fagales; Betulaceae. The record is from RefSeq and is a predicted model, not a curated record. The transcript is spliced from 3 exons.
UGCUGCUCAAGGGUGAUUCUCGGCCAUGGAUCUAAACGUGCUGCCCAAGUAUAAAUUCCACCCUUUGAUUCUUCUUGCUGCCCACGCUGAUCCACUCCCAACCCUUGAUCAAUUCUACCCAAAAUAAUCCAAGCCAUCCGUUUGUGCAUAAAAGUAGAGCAGCCCAUUAACGGACAGCACUCCUCCUUUUCCCUCUGCAUUCUCUUCUCUUCUCUUCUCUUCUUCCUCAGUUUUUCUCUUUUCUGCAAGCUCUCCCUCUGUCGCUGAAAUAAAAGAAAAAGAAAGAGAGAGCAGCCCUCCUCUUCUUCGCUUCUUUAGUUUUCUUCUCUUCUUUAGACUCUCUUUCUUUAUUUCAGUCCAACAGAAAAUAAAGGAUCCUCUUCCCUUCUUGUUCGGACAGCAGCCUCCAAAAGCAAAAGCAAUAGCUCCUUCCUCUAAUCUCUCACGGCACACACAGAAAAGAAUAGAGGAAGAUAUCUCCAGGAUUUUCUUCUUCUUGUAGAAGGUAGCUAAAAUAUUGCUCUGAAGAUAUCAGAUAACACUGUAGACCAGAGUCUUUUUGUUAUGGAUGGCAUAGACCCCACCCCUAAGAGCAAUAGAUCAAUAAAAACCGGCCAAACUUUUGUAUUGUGCAUAUUUAUUUUGAAUUUCUGAAAAUAUGAUGUAAUAACUAAAGAACUACUAAUAUGUAUAUGUUCUUAUAAUGAAAUAUAGCUAUGCGCUAUUCCUGGGAAAUUGUGUACAUGUUUUAAAUUAUAGAGAUGUUUUAUAGCUCAAGUUCGCGUUUCCCUUAUAUCCCAAAACGGGGGCGUGACAAUAAAUCCUGGUGUAAAAUAGUUCAGUUACCCCCUUUUUUAUGAUCCUGUACGACAUAUGCCCAUUUUGUCCUUAUCAAGCGCGGGGCUUUAUGUAGAUAUCUAAUAUCAUCUCUAACUUGAUUUGACUAGUCUAGAAAAUAUUGAAGACCGAAGCAUUUGGCCUAGUUUCAGGAUCCGGGGACUAAUCGGGAACCAUGAGUCCGAGAUCCAACCCGAGGGCUAAUCUGGCCCUAUUUUAAAUAGGGGACAAAUAUUUCCCCAACAAUUACAAUAACAUAAAUAUUAGAAAAAAUAGACACCUACUUCCCCUGAAGACCCAACGAGAAGCCAGCAAGAACAACGUGAAGACAAGGAAAAUAAGCGAAAAAGAUGUAACUACUAUACAAGGAAGAAAUGGGUCAACUAGAGGAAAACAGAAUGUGUGUUUACCCUGUGAAGGAACGGAAACAGAACAACCUUCAAUUUGUUCUUUAUGACUUUUAUACAAGGAAGGACCUUGAGAUGUCCAUCAACAAUGAAAG